RNAcentral lists this long non-coding RNA (928 nucleotides) under Mytilus galloprovincialis (Mediterranean mussel). Lineage: Eukaryota; Metazoa; Mollusca; Bivalvia; Mytilida; Mytilidae. The record is from RNAcentral.
GGGCAUGGUAUGCCUUAAAACUUUUCCAGAUGCACAGGUUUGUAUGUAAUCUAUCUAAAGUUUGAGGUGAAAAUGCAGCCAUUUGAGCCAAAGGGCACACAUCAUUAAUCAUUUCUACAGAACUUGUCUUGAUACCCUGAGCUAUAAUAUUCGAAGAAGUAGAUGCUGACUCGGUUGCUUUUAAUACGGAUGCUAUAUGAUACGAAUUUACAAUAAUACACCAGUGGUACGAUGUAAAUUAUUGGAAGAAGACUGAAGAAGAACUGACGUUGGGUCAAUGUUUUUCUGCUGUCAGUUUGAUCCACUUGAGCAUGCUGAACGAGUAAAGUUCCUUAUAUCCACAUUGGAAUGUGAAACAAUUAGUAUUUAAAUAACGGAACUAAGUUUUCAAAUGAUUUUUGGCAUCAAAAUCCUCCGAUCGAUGUUUAGAUAAAAACAAUGCAUUUUUUAAUUGUUUUUUUUUUAUUUUAUCAAAUCCGGUAUUUACCUUUACUCGUCCUUGGCGUGAGACGUUAGACAUAUAAUUUAAUUUUAAUUAUCGAGUAUUUUAUAUUCUUUCACCUAUGUUUUGUUUAUAUCACUUAUCACUUUUCAAUUAUCCGACGGCUUGGUCAAAAUGUCAACUUGUUCUCGCAUUUUAAUCAGUCAUUCCCGAUUCUUUCGAUACUCUCGGGAUUUUAUCACGUUUACGUACGUACAUAUAGUAAACAGGUAAAAGUAGAGCGGGAAAAUGUUCAUUCAUGAAAUAUUCAUGAAUGAAUGAAAACGCAAUCUCGCGUAGAUUUCUUGUGAUUUUCUCUUCAGCGCAUGGCAGAUCCGCGAAGUAGCGUUUGUGAUACUCAUUUUUAAAAUGAAGUUAAAUUCAUCUGAAUCGUAGGUGAACAUUCAUUUCUUUUUUAUUCAAGCUGUAAUCUUUUCAGUCAAAACA